This 490-nucleotide ribosomal RNA is filed under the name uncultured bacterium. RNAcentral describes it as "partial 16S ribosomal RNA". It matches the Rfam family "Bacterial small subunit ribosomal RNA", at positions 30 to 507 of the family's 1533-position model. The record is from RNAcentral.
AUUGAACGCUGGCGGCAGGCCUAACACAUGCAAGUCGAACGGUAACAGGAAGCAGCUUGCUGCUUUGCUGACGAGUGGCGGACGGGUGAGUAAUGUCUGGGAAACUGCCUGAUGGAGGGGGAUAACUACUGGAAACGGUAGCCAAUACCGCAUAACGUCGCAAGACCAAAGAGGGGGACCUUCGGGCCUCUUGCCAUCGGAUGUGCCCAGAUGGGAUUAGCUAGUAGGUGGGGUAACGGCUCACCUAGGCGACGAUCCCUAGCUGGUCUGAGAGGAUGACCAGCCACACUGGAACUGAGACACGGUCCAGACUCCUACGGGAGGCAGCAGUGGGGAAUAUUGCACAAUGGGCGCAAGCCUGAUGCAGCCAUGCCGCGUGUAUGAAGAAGGCCUUCGGGUUGUAAAGUACUUUCAGCGGGGAGGAAGGGAGUAAAGUUAAUACCUUUGCUCAUUGACGUUACCCGCAGAAGAAGCACCGGCUAACUCCGUG